CCCCUCCCGGGGUCGCACCUGGAGAGUCUCCAGUCCUCUACCAGUCUCGACUACGGGAGGGAGAAUCAAGCAGAGGCCUGUCCAUUCCACUCCUAGUUUGGCCAGUGGCUGGAGAGUGGCAGGCCGUCUGCUACAAGU
Molecule: small nucleolar RNA, 138 nt
Organism: Ornithorhynchus anatinus (platypus)
Lineage: Eukaryota; Metazoa; Chordata; Mammalia; Monotremata; Ornithorhynchidae
Source: RefSeq, a predicted model, not a curated record